This 309-nucleotide unclassified non-coding RNA is filed under the name uncultured Agaricales. RNAcentral's name for it is "sequence contains 5.8S rRNA gene, ITS2, 28S rRNA gene". The stretch from base 1 to 52 matches the Rfam family "5.8S ribosomal RNA", at positions 103 to 154 of the family's 154-position model. The record is from RNAcentral. Lineage: Eukaryota; Fungi; Basidiomycota; Agaricomycetes; Agaricales.
AACGCACCUUGCGCUCCUUGGUAUUCCGAGGAGCAUGUCUGUUUGAGUGUCAUGAUAUUCUCAAAACUCACUACGUUUUGCGCUGUGAGAUUUUGGAUUUUGGAGUGUGCUGGAGAAAUUUGAAUAUUUUUCAAGCUACUCUUGAAUGCAUUAGCAAUCUUCAUUCGGGAAGGAAAAAGGCUUCAUCUGGCUUGAUAAUGUUUUCUUAUGCCAUUUUUGAAGUUGAAUAAAGUACUUUCUUAAUUGAUUGCUUAUAGACGAUUUUUUCUUAUUGACCUCAAAUCAGACAAGACUACCCGCUGAACUUAA